This 389-nucleotide long non-coding RNA is filed under the name Brachypodium distachyon (stiff brome). Its description in RNAcentral is "long non-coding RNA (BDIS_LNC002316)". The record is from RNAcentral. Lineage: Eukaryota; Viridiplantae; Streptophyta; Magnoliopsida; Poales; Poaceae.
UAUGCGUUAAAUAAUCACAAGUACGGCAUAUUAAAAAUGUUUAGACGCGUCAAAUACUAAACAGUACGGUGUAUUAAAAAUAUUAAUACGCGUCAAAUACUAAGCAGUACGGCAUAUUAAAAAUAUUAAUACGCGUCAAAUACUAAGCAGUACGGCAUCAAAAAAAAAAUUCUAUCAAACAUAUUACUCCCGGCCAUAAUAUUUAGAUGCAUCAAAUACUAAGCAGUACGACAUUAACAGUUGUUCAAAAUAAUGAGCACUACCAAACGCUAAAACAUACUUCUAUAUAUACGUACACACAUAUCCUCAUAAACAUAUACAUUAUAAGAUAAAUACGUGAGAAAUUAGGAUUUACCCUUGAAGCGUGCAAACCCCAACCUCGAGCAGCC